AGUGAACGCUAGUGGCGUGCUUAACACAUGCAAGUCGAACGGACGAUAUUUGUGCUUGCACAAAUAAAGUUAGUGGCAAACGGGUGAGUAAUACAUGAGAAUUUUCCUUGCAGUACGGAAUAACUAUUGGAAACAGUAGCUAAUACCGUAUAUUGCCGAGAGGUGAAAGAUUUAUCGCUGCAAGAUAAGCCCAUGCAAGAUUAGCUUGUUGGUAAGGUAAUGGCUUACCAAGGCUACGAUCUUUAGCUGGUUUGAGAGGAUGAUCAGCCACACUGGAACUUAGACACGGUCCAGACUCCUACGGGAGGCAGCAGUGAGGAAUAUUGGACAAUAGGCGAAAGCCUGAUCCAGCGACGUCACGUGAAUGAUGAAGGCCUUAGGGUUGUAAAAUUCUUUUAGUGGAGAAGAUAAUGACGGUAUCCACAGAAAAAGUCCCGGCUAACUUCGUGCCAGCCGCCGCCGUAACAC
RNAcentral lists this ribosomal RNA (468 nucleotides) under uncultured bacterium. RNAcentral's name for it is "bacterial SSU rRNA". It matches the Rfam family "Bacterial small subunit ribosomal RNA", at positions 29 to 526 of the family's 1533-position model. The record is from RNAcentral.